GACGUGAGCGUUAGACGUAAGCGUAGUAGCCCUAUUUGAGUGUUUAAUUCAUAUAGGGGGUAUGGACACAUAUUUAUACACCCGUCUGUCCACCUUGAUGGCGUAGUGUAGCACCGCAUUAAGGCGUGACGUGAGCGUUGGACGCGAGCCUAGUAGCCCUAUAUAGACCCAUGAAUUUAUAUAGGGAGUAUGGACGAGUGUAAAUACAUACAUAUAUUAUAGAGUCUGAGAGGCUCGAUAUUUUAUGGGAUAAAAGUUUUAUCGCUUGCGGCAUGCAUUCGAUUUUUCCUUAGAAAUUAAUUUGGGGAAACAUAAAUAUUUUAUUUAUUAUUUUAUUUUUGUCCACUCACUCUAACGUUAUUAAAUGUUUUCCCCUGGGCCCUUCGUUUUAAAUUGCCCAGUCUGCAGAGUUCGGGUUGGAUCUAGUAGGAGACGAGGCAUAGUCACCCGCAUUUCUGCCAGUUUUCGCCAGUAGGUUACCUGUUCAACCUACUCGUGUUUUCUUGCUUCUGCUUGUGUUUAGUAGCUCUGAAUACUUUAGAAUUUUUGUAUAUUAUGUGAUGUUCAGAAGUGUUAAAUUAAGAGUGUAAUAUGAAAUUUUCGAGUUAGGGUUGUCCAUCUGCAAGGGAGAUUUUCUUAAUCUUUUCAGUAAAUUUUCCUUGGAGGUGGUCCCCGCACGACUUACUCUGGGUUUCAGGCUGAAAUUCGGGGUGGGUCGUGUCAUAAAACUAUACAAAACUCCCAAACAGCGCCGGCGCCGGCGCAGGCUCCCCGGCAGCGGCGGCCGGAGGCCGAUUUCGGCAACCUCCAAUGCCUAUGAAAUUUUGACAAAAUAAUCUUCUCAUCAUGCUCUACAACUUUUCUAACUAGCACAACACCCAAAUCCAAGCCUAACUAGGCCAAUCGAAUGAAAACACACUAGCAAACCCUAGAGCUUCCACUCACCGGUUCUCCUUACCUAGACCACGAGAGGGCGAGCUCUUUGGAGGGAUUGCUGCACGGGAGGAGAGCUUCACAACGAGCCAAGACUCGCCGGCUGUGGCGGCCGGAGGAGGGAGCUCCGGCGAGAGGACAACCGGCUUCUAAGGAGGACUUCCUCUGUUCGGCGGGGUUGCAGCACCGCUCACCAGCCCAGGAAGGCGGCGGGGAGGACGAUGGACCGUGCUCGAGUGGUGCGGCGUCCCUGCUUGGCUGGACGGCGGCGGCGGGCGCUGGUCUUCCGGCAAAGUGAGAGAGAGCUCAGGAGAAGAAGAACCGGGGAAAGAAAAGAGAGAAGGAGAAAAAGAGGAGAAGAAGAGAAGAAAAAGAGAGGAGAAAAUAGGGUUUGGGCCUCACACCAACCCGGCCCAAUACGACAAUUAAACCCAACUCCACCAUUAAAACACCCCAAAAAUAAAUACCCUAAUAAAAAGUACCUUUUACUAGCUAAAAUUUUCCAUUUUUACCGUCGUCAUAUUUUCUCCUACGAAUAAUCCUCCGAAAAUAACCGUCCCCAAAACCCCUGUAGGGACCAAUUAAACUAUAACCUCAAUGACGGAGACGGUAAAAUUCUUAUUAUAAUCAAGCUAGUAAAUAAGGUAAAUAUUUUAGGGUCGGGAUGUGACAGAAUGAGUGUAUCCGCCCAUGCCUCAGCCUUGAUUCAAAUUAAUAUUUUAAACAGGAUGAGCAGUAAUUUUAGAUCGACGAAGGGUUCGAAAGGCCAAAGGUCCGAAUCGUCUGAGGGAACCAUGACAGCUAGACGUGCGACCCUUUAGGAGACGGCGCAAAGGCAGCCGGAGGUGCCCCAUUCAUCGAGGCAGCGGGGCCUCCCUCAUUCCUCGAGGCAGCUAUGGCCUCAGACCCAGAUGGAGGUGUCUGCACCCCGUAUGCCUGAGAUACACCGGGCGCCCACUCCAGGUCCUACUUCUUCCGAUAGUGGGUCAUCUGGGGUACAGACGCCGCCGCCUCAUCUGUUCCUUCCACUGAUGAUACCGGCCUUACCUGCAAUCGAUGGCUCAAGGACGCCGAUUUAUCCACUGCCCCCGCCAGUGGCUCCAUCAGCGGCGUACCGGUUUGUGCCUUUUGAUACGCCUCUUAUUUCCGCGAGGGUAUCAUCAUCGACGAUAGAGAAGGAAUCCCUCGCGUCCGCCGCAUCGCCCUCAGAUAAUGAAAGAAGAAUGAUUUGUUUUCUUAAAAUUCUUCGAUUUUAAUAAUGAAUUUGUUUUAUCAUGUGAUAGGUACCAUCGGAGCGAAGCCGGUAAAGAAGAAGAGAGGCCCCGUCACAGGGAAGGCUCUCGAGAAGAUGGUCGGUACCUCAGGGAGGAUCGUCAUCUGUACUGACGGGGAUGGCGACAUAGUAUCGGGCAGGAAGUCGAGGACGUACUCCGGCCGCGUGGGAGCGCUCAUUAGGGACAGAGUCCCUAUGUUGUGGUCAGACUGGGGCGAGGUCUCGCAGGAGGUUAAGGACAUGGUCCACAACGCAAUGUCGGUGAGUUUACAAAAUGCCUCAAUAAUAUUAUGUAUUAUAUUGUUGAUUUCUCAAAAAACUAAACUAAUAAACGGUUAAAUGCAGGUGUGGUUUGAGGUUCCCGAGCACCUAAAGAGCAGCUGGGCGCACGUUGUACAUGGAGGAAGGUACGUUGGGAAGUUAAUGAAAAAACAAAAUUGUAUGUGAUAUUAAUAAUAUUUCUAAUAUUUUUGUUGUAUCUGUAGGUACAAGGAGUGGAAGAACGAGUUGCGGACCCCCUAGACUACGCACGGGAACGCACGUUCUGGUACCCCUGUAGAGUUCCAAUACAAGGAGUACGAGUGGCGUUGGCUUCUAACAUCAGAAUUCAACAACCCUCGUAAACAGGUAUUUAAAAAAAUUAAUUAGUUAAUUUGUCAUUAAGUACGUGCGUUUUUAAAUAUUUUACAAAUUGUUUAUUUUUUUCUUUGAACGCCGUUUCCCGGGCGAACGCUCAGAACCGGCAACGCAACACAAGGAACCAUCGUGCCGGUUCUAGACCGUUCGCUGUCUUCAUCGACGAGGCGGCCAGGGAACAUCUAGAAGUCAACCGGUACGUCUAUACGUACGAGAAGGCAUAUCCUGACGCCCAGGAGGAUAUUGUAAGUCAUCUUACGUUUUUAAAUUUUUAAUUUUACUUAUAUAUAUGUUAAAAUGUUAAUUAAUAAUUUUUUUCCUAUCCAAUUAGGCGAAAGUAAGGGAGGCUAGUGACGAGGUGAUGAGUGCUAUAGUGAGGGAGACAUGGCCGGACACGCAGGAGGAAGAGAUGUUCGAAGCCAUGUCCCGGAUCGACACUUCGGAUCUGACGGUUGGGGCGAGGAUCAUGGGUACAGCCUUCCCACCGCGAGCAAACAACUUGUACUGCCAGGGUCUAGGAAAGAAGGGCGAGGGGGUCCUGAAGACCACUCCAGGAUUUCAACGAAAUGCAGCCUCGACCAGCAGCAGGACCACGACCACCAAGACGACUCAGCUAGAGUCGGAAGUUCAGAGACUACGGGAACAGUAAGCUGCUCAGGUUGCCUAUAAUGUCGCGCAAGCAGCCUAUAAUGCGGCGCAAGCAACCUGUAAUGCCACGCAGGCAGCCUAUGCUGCCGAGAUACAUGCCAUCCAGCAGGCCCAGCAGCAGCAGAUGUUCCAGUAUAUGCAGGACUUUACAGCUGCCCAGCUUCAGGGACUUCCAACUCCACCCAUGCCUACGGCUAUAACGCAACCUCGACAGCAGCCCCCAGAAGCGGAUAUUAAUUUAGACGAUCUAGAUUUUGUGUAGUUGAUGAAUUAUAUAGUUUUUUGUGCUUGUUAUUGGUUAUAUAUAUAUAGAAUUGUUUUGGUGUAUUUUGCAGCUUGCUUGGAAUGGUAAUUUAGAAAUUUCGGGUUUUUUUUUUAUUAUUUAGAAUGGACUUAUAGCCGACGAAAUACGCCAUAAUUCGCCGGCUAUAGUAUUUUAAAAUUUUUUUUAUAAGGUUUAGCCGACGAAUUUUGGAAUGUUUCGUCGGCGAAACACUUCUAAAGCCGACGAAACAGCUGACGAAACAGACUAUAUUUCGUCGGCUAUAGUUAUUCUUUUAAUUUUUUAUUACACACUUUAGCCGACGAAUAACUUAAAUGUUUCGUCGGCUAAAGUCUGGGAAAAAAACCGACGACAUGUUUUUCAUCGGCUAAACUCUGGAACUAUAGCCGACGACGUCUUCUAGUUUCGUCGGCUAAAGUUAUCGCCGACGACCUUUUCCCGACGAAAUCUUAGCCGACGAAGGCUCGUCGGCGAUCUUAGCCGACGAAUUAAGCUAACAGGCCGACGAAACUUUUUCGUCGGCUAAAGUGUUUGUCCUGGUAGUGUGGCUAAACUUAGCUGAAACUCUAAAAGAAAUAACUUAAAGCACAUGAAAGAUAAGUCCUCUAACUUCGAGCUCAAAACCUCCACAAAUCUCCGACGUCCCCAGUAACCCGUUUCGAAAGCAUACUAGAAACCAAAAUUUAAUUGAGUGGUCUCAGCUAAUCACCCUGACACCAUCGGAUAAACACACAUCCAAAUAGCGAUGACCUGCCAGGUCAAAUCUGGAUUAGCAAGUGGUCCACCACGUUGCGAUCUGGAGAAAAGACGUCGCUCAACUUAUCCAUAUAUCUACUAACCACAAUAAUAUAUCUCUUAAUAAACCUUGACUCGGAAUGCUUCUUGAGUCAACAGGGGAAACCCCCUCCCCUAAGGCUCACUACCAGGACAAGCACUUUAGCGAACGAAAAAGUUUUGUCGGCCUAUUAGCAAAAUUUGUCGGCUAAGAUCUUAGCCGAUGAGCCUUCGUCGACAAUGAUUUCAUCGGGAAAGAGUCAUCGGCGAUGAUUUUAACCGACGAAACAAGAAGACGUCGUCGGCUAUUGUCCUAGAAUUAAGCCGACGAAUAUCUUAAAUGUUUCGUCGACCAUAGUCUGAGACUUUAGCCGACGAAACAUUUAAGAUAUUCGUCGUCUAAAGUAUGUAAUAAAAAAUUAAAAAACAUAUCUAUAGCCGACGAAAUAUAGCCUGUUUUGUCGGCUUUAAAAGGGUUUAGCCGACGAAUUACGGCAUGUUUCGUCGGUUAAACCCUAUAACUUCCCAACGUACCUUCCCCCAUGCACAACGUCCGCCCAACUGUUCUUCAGGUGCUCAGGAGCGUCAAACCACACCUGCAUUUAACCGUUUAUUAGUUUAGUUUUUCGAGAAAUCAACAAUGUAAUACAUAAUAUUAUUGAGGCAUUUUGUAAACUCAUCGACAUCGCGUUGUAGACCAUGUCCUUAAGAAAACAAAUCAUUCAUCUUUCAUUACCUGAGGGCGAUGCGGCGGACGUGAUGGAUUCCGUCUCUGUCGCCGAUAAUGAAACCCUCGCUGAAAUAAGAGGCGUAUCAAAAGGCACGAACCAGUACGCCACUGAUGGAGCCACUGGCGGGGGCAGUGGAUAAAUCGGCGUCCCUGAGCCAUCAACUGCAGGUAAGGCCGGUAUCAUCCGCGGAAGGAACAGAUGAGGCGGCGGCAUCUGUACCCCAUCUGACCCACCAUCCGAAGCAGUAGGACCCGGAGUGGGCGCUCGGUGUAUAUCAUACAUACGGGGUGCAGACACCUCCGUCUAGGUCUGAGGCCACAGCUGCCUCGAUGAAGGGGGCACCUCUAGCUGCCUCGAGGAAUGAGAAACGCUCGGUUGCCUCGAGAAAUGGGAAACGCUCGGCUGCCUCUGCGCUGUCUCCAUAAGGGUCGCACGUCUGGUCGUCAUGGGGCCUCGGAAUGACGUUUGAGGGUUGUUAGAGGUUCCCUCAGACGAUUCGGACCUUUGGCCCUUCGAACCCUUCGUCGAUCUAAAAUUACCGCUCAUCCUGUUUAAAAUAUUAAUUUGAAUCAAGGCUGAGGAAGAAAAACGAAUGAUUAUUUCUUUUAACUAAAAAGAUAUGUGGAGGUGCCCUGUAGGAGUUAAGGAGUAGAUUUGGGUAUAUUUUUUUUAUUAUAUUCCAAACAUCAAUCUUGUAAUGUAAUGUUAUCCGUAGGCUGUUAGAUUUUGCAUAUGCAAGUAUACCCUAUAACUUCUUAUGACAAAUUAUACAAAAAUACGACACUGUGCUCUAUAGCCACAGGGACAGUCUCUGGAUCUUAUUUUACUCAACUACAGCAAUUCAAGUGUGACACCAGCGAGCAGAUUCACAAGAACAACUCUCUAAAUACAACAGAAACAACCAACUCAAGCUUGUAUAGUUUUACUAAUGCAGAAUUUACUCAUUAUUUAUUUCAAGAUUUGAACUAUACAGCUGCCAAGAAAGAUAACAAUCAGCAGAACUCCAAAGGUUUAUUACCUCAAUUUUUAAGCACCUAGAAAUCGAUUUACGACAUACCAAUGUCCCAAAUAACCAUGUACUUGCACACAGUUAAUCUCAUUCACACCACCAAUCAACAAAAUCACUCGCAAACAACUGCACCUUCCCUUGACAUUCUAAUGAACCUAAAAAAAGAGACGCUUACUAUCCACCAUUCCGAAUUCCACAUCAACACAAAUGCUUAACAAUGUCGCUCUUUGUUUUGCUCUAAUCAUAUAUGUGAAUCAUUAAACUAAUUUACUAACUGAUCCAGACUACAUGAAACUUAAUAACGACACACCACAUGUAAAUCAUACACAAAAUCAAUAGGCAUAAAAAAUAUCCACAAUAUUUCAGCAACCAUAGAUUAAAACUUGCAUAAUCCAAACCACAACGAAGUCACACAAACAACAACGUGUGUAUAUAUAUAUAUAUAUUAAUCAUAAACCAUUCCACAAUAUCAAUACCGCAUAGAAACCCUAAAUUCCCAAAUUCGAAAACCUAGAAUGACAUAUCGAAAUCAAAAUCAGAGGAUUACACCACCUGACGAGCGACGAGCAGACGACAGGCGACGAGCAGACAACGGCGAGCAGUAUGGAGCAGCCAAGCAAGCGAGAAGGUAACAACGGUGAGCAGACGACGGCGAGCAAGUAACGACGGGCGACGAGCAGAUGACGGCGAGCAGACGGAGCAGCUAAGCAGGCGAAAUUUUUAGGGUUUUUUGGAGCGCUGUGGAGGCUGUCGAGCGCUAGGUUUAAUUAUAUAUCCUAUACCUUUAGCCGACGAAAUAAAACUUUCGUCGGCUAAACCUUUGAAAUUCGUCGGCUAAACCUGUGAAUCUCGUUGGCUAAACCUUUGAAAUACGUCGGCUAAACCUACGAAUCUCGUUAGCUAAAGUAAUGAAAUUCGUCGGCUAUAGUAUUUUUUAUACAUUCGGCACAUUGUGAUUAUGAUGAUCCAACUUGAGAAACGAAAAAUCCGACCGUCAGAUCUGACCAUCAUGAUAAAAUACAUGUACGGGAAAAAAUUCAACUUGAUCCGACAAGGUUAAGGGCUCGAUCCGGACGGUCAAUCCCGUAAGUCAAACCCCUAAACGCACGGAAAAAGUCAUUGGACCGUCUAAAUUACGUAUUUUGGCUGGACCUUCAACUGAAAAUAGUUUCAAAUCGAUGAGACGCAACAAGUCGUAUAAAAAAAUUUACAGAAAAUAACCACCGAAGAUAGGGCAACCCAUAGGGAGAAAGAAUGGAAAAUUGCAUUGACCGCAACUAUCGUCACCGAGACUUUACCGGAAUACCGUGAUUUUUCAACCGUGGACGUAUUUCACCAUUCUGGUCAUAUCUUAUUUCACGACUUUUUUGCGUUUGAAGAUUCCACGUAUAGUUUGUUUUUUAAACGAAACAUUUACUUGACACGGUAAACAAGUUAUACAAUAUUAGUAGGCAUGUUGUGAUUGUGAUGAUCAAACUUGAGAAACGAAAAUCCGACUGUCAGAUCUGACCAUCAUGAUAAAAUACAUGUAUGGAAAAAAAUUCAACUUGAUCCGACAUGGUUAAGGGCUCGAUCCGUACGGUCAAUUCCGUAAGUCAAACCCCUAAACGCACGGAAAAGGUCAUUGGACUGUCUAAAUUACGUAUCUUGGCCGAACUUUCAACUGAAAAUAGUUUCAAAUCGAUGAGACGCAACAAGUCGUAUAUUAGGGUAUUCGUCGGCUAAGGUUUAGGGUUUAGGGUUUAGCCGACAAAAUAUUAGAGUAUUCGUCGGCUAACCGCAUCUUAGCCGACGAAUUAUGACUUAUUUAAGAUGGUUUUAGCCGACGAAAUAUACUAUAAUUUGUCGGCUAUUUCGUCGGCUAAGAUGGUUUAAGCCGACGAAUUAUGAUAUAUUUCGUCGGUUAAAGUAUAAAAAAUACAUUAAAAAAACAGAAGGUUUUAAUGUAAACUAUACUAACUUCCUGUUCAUAUAUCACCAAAAUUCGUAUAAAAUAACAGAAAUAUGAAUUCAACAUAUGUAAACUAUAAAGGUAAUACAUUCUUUUUUAUUACAAAUUAAUGUAUUACGUCCUCUAAAUUAAAACUAAGGCUCGUAAUUGGAAUCAUCCGAUGAGUCUUCUUCGGUGUCAGAAUUAAUUUCUGGUAAUCUAUGCCUUUCCUCAUCGCCAGAGUUUUCGUCUGUUUCUUGAUUUGGAUCAACAUCAAUAAGCCUUGGCUCAUCAUCACGAAUUCGCACCGAACGACCCGCUUUAAAAUUAUUAAGGCGAACGGUAGAGGAGUUAGGAAUACCUAUUGCGGUGGGCUCUUGAUACGCAACAACUUCUUCCUCGUCUUCGGCCUCUCCAAGUGUAGCCGCCCGGUAAAUGUUUCGAGGGUGCACAAGGUUGACUACUUUCCACGUGUCACCCUUAACAAGGUCAUCAAGAUAAAACACUUGUUUUACCGAUAUGGCAAAAACGAACGGGUCAUCUUCGUAACAACUUGUAGUAGUGUUCACCGAUAAUAUUCCGUACUGAUCGGUCUUCAUGCUCUGCGGCCUAGUAUUAAACCAUUUACACUUGAAGAGGUGCACUGUCAUGCCUUGCCCAUAAACGAGUUCCACCACUGAAUGGAGAACACCGUAAUAGUCAACUUCAUUCUGCCCACCAUGCGCCAUCACCCCAGAAUUCUGUGUUCUCCGUCUGUUCUCUCUCUGUUCACAUAUAAAUUGCACGCCAUUCACCUUGCACAUCGGAUAAGCUCUUGAUAUUAUCGGUUUCAUCGCUAGAAGUCUUAGUUCGUGCGACCAAUUUGGGUGACCAUCAAAUUGAAUAUAGUUCAUCUACAACCAACCAUUCAACUGUAAAUAUAGAUAAUUAUGCAAUAAACAUAAAUACGUACAGAAAUAUUAAAUUACGUACCCAGCCGCUAAAAUAGUUUGCGAACUCCCUGUUGUGGUACUCGAGAUCACCUUGAAUGUCUAGACAAUAUAGAUGGAUGUCUUUCCAGUAUUCAACUUCUGGACAGUUAAUCAAUAUCCACCAGUGGGCAAUGACUAGCUCAUGUGGUUGCAACUUGUAGGAGUCUGGCAAACUUCCAUAAACUUCAACAUCACUGGAGAGUAUGGAAAGAUUGAACUUCGGUACAUCUACCGAUAUAAUUUGUGGAGUUUCCUUCAACGCUCCUAAAUACAACUUCAUGUAGGUGAUGCACUCUUGCGCAAUAUAUGCUUCAGCUAUACAUCUUUCAGGCGCGAAUUUAUUAGCCACAUAAUCUUUGUAGUCUCCAAGUUGCCUAUAAAUCAAGUUGCAAAGUGUUAUGAUUAUUGAACAUGUAUAUUGAGGAAUUCAGGUGUAAAAAACGAACCUUUCCAUGGGAUACAUCCAAGUGUAGUGUAUUGGACCAGUAAACAACAAUUGCUCGGGAAGAUGGAUCCUCAGGUGAGGCAUGAUGUCAAAAAAAUUUGGAGGAAAUAUCCUCUCAAAUUUACACAUGAUAUAAAUGAUGUCCUCUUGCAUUUUCUGGAGGUUAGAUUUUUUCACUUCCCGUGUGCAUAACUUCUGGAGGAAUCUUGCCAACGCUACUAAUGGCUCCACCACCUGACGGGGAAGGAACGGUCGAGUGAAAACAGGGAAGAGACGUUGUAGCAGGAUAUGACAGUCAUGGCUCUUCAACCCGUACAUCUUAUUGUCCUGGAAGUUCACACACCGGGCUAUAUUUCCUGCAUAGCCUGAAGGAUACUUCACACAACUCAUCCACCUGAAAAUUACGUUCUUCUGGUUAGGCUUCACGGUGUAAGGAGCUUGAGACAUUUUUUUCUUCCCUUCUUUCAACCACAGAUGUCUUCUUAUAAGCAUUUUUUGUAGAUCAAUGCGUGCCUUAGAACCGUCUUUCGUCUUCCCCUCCAAGUUCAGCACUGUGCCCACCACACUGUCGCAAACAUUAUUUUCUAUGUGCAUCACAUCUAGGUAGUGCCUGAUCAACAACUUACUCCAGUAUGGGAGUUCCCAGAAUAUGCUCUGAUGUGUCCAGAAUUUGUACCUGUCGGGUCUUUCAGGUAUUGCUGCCACAAUAUUGGGAUGAUUGCUGAGCUGCCCAAAAUUGUACUCAUUAAGCAUUGCUAAAAUUUCUUCCCCUGUCCAUCUUCUGGGAGGCACACCGUUUUCUACGGUCCCAUCAAAUGCCUUGUCAUCGAACCGCCAUUCGUGAUUAUAUGGAAGGAAAGUACGGUGACCUAAUUUGCAUAUCUUGUUGCAAUGACUACUGAUCCCCUCAUCGCUAAGGCACUCUAGACAAGCCUUGUAUCCCCUAACAACGUUGCCCGACAACAUCCCACGGGCAGAAAAAUCACUGAUGGUACCAACAACCAUGACAUGCAUCUGGAACAUCUCGUGCAUGUACUUGUCAUAAGUGAGAUGACCAACAUCCCAAAAAAACUUAAGCUCUUCAAUCAAAGGUCUCAAAUACACUUCGAGACACUUCCCUAGAUAACCGGGCCCCGGAAUCAACAAACUCAACAUAUUGUAUUCCUUCUUCAUGCACAUCCAUGGAGGAAGGUUGCAUGGUACCAAAAUCACCGGCCAUACACUGUAUUGAAGACUCAUGUUGCCAUAAGGGUUGAACCCGUCGGAUGAGAGCCCGAGCCUCACAUUUCGAACCACUGACGCAAAAUGAGAAAACUCCCUGUCUAUAUGCUUCCAAGCCUCCCCGUCAGCAGGGUGUAUAAGUGUAUCUUCGUCAUGCAAUUCCCUAUCAGUGUGUCAUCUCAUAGCUUCGGCCGUGUGUGAAGACAUGUACAACCGCUCCAGCCUAUCCCUCAACGGGAAAUACCGAAGUACCAUCACAGGUUUCCUAUUGCCUGCAGGAGUCAGCUUAUACCUGUCAGUUUGUUGUACUUGUCAAUACCAGCAGUGUUGACCCCUCUAGGGAAGGGCUGCACCGGCUCAGGCACAUACUAUCCUUGAGCGCAUACACCGCUCUCAUAAAGACACAUGUCGUUGAUGAACGUCGUUGUUGGAUCGUUGGAUGUACUGCCCGUCUCAGAAAAUUGCCCAUGAUCAUGCGGACCCCUUGAUGAUGUUUCACCGUGAUAUAACCAACAUGUGUACUUCUCCCAAAACCCGUUACUCUUCAGGUGCUGCCAUACUUUGUCAAUCGCAAAUGGAUGCAUAUCGCUGCGACACUGACAUUUCGUGCACGGGCAAUAGAAAAUUGUAUUCCCGUUAGCAUUAGCCAGAGCAUAUUCCAGAAAACUCAUAACUCCUUUACAUAUCUUUUGUCCCAUUUUGGAAGCGAAAUCCAACUCUUAUCCAUAUCCUGAAAAUAUAACAAAAUAUAUAUGUAUAACUCUAAUUAAUUAAAUUCCAUAUAUAAAAUCUCAAUUCAUUUAGUAUUCUACGUACUACAACUAAUUAAUAACAAAUUAAUUAACACAAAUAUAUAUAUACUUAAUAAUUACAUAACAAUAUUAUAUAUUAUUAUAUAUUAACAAUAUUAUAUACUUAAUAAUUCCCAUCUCACAACUGAAAUUUAACAAUUUAUGAUAUCAAAUCAAUAACCCUUGGAAAAAACAUAAUCUAAACACCUUUUCCUUACCCAAAACAGGAUGAUCACUUAAGAGGUCGGCAUACGGAGGCAUAGUCUUGAAGAUAUAGACAUUUAUGGCACAAUACUGUCCAUAAAUAAGAUAAGAACAACUACCUCACAAACCUAAUUAACACAUAGCAUCUAAAACAUAUAAUGCUAAUGGAUCCGCUGCGGUCGGACCAUCAUUCUAUAGACACUAAGUAUGACCAAGUAUAUGAGGUAGUAAUUAAAGGAGAAAGGAACGAAUAACCUAAUGCUCUGAUACCAACUGUCAGGACCCACCCCGAAUUUCACCCUGAAAUCCGAAGUAAAUCCUAUGGGGAGCAAGGAAAAUUUACCGAAAAUUUGGUAUAACCUCUCUUGAAAAUGGACAACCCUUCCUUAUAAAACACUUGCAAACACUUCUAACAAUCCAAAUCCAACUUUAUACUUCUGGAGCCUUUGUGCUCCCCAAAUUCACAACACCUCCCAAAUUAUUUACCAAUAUAAUAAAAAUCCCCUAACCAACAAUUCAUAGGUUCAGAACAAUUCUAACAGUGAAGGGAAGAUAAAUAUAUAUAUAUAUAUAUAUAUGAGCAGAAGCUAUACGAAAGACUAUGCCUUGACUCCAUGUACUCCCAACCCCAACUAUGCCAACCUGCAAACUAGGCAUUUAAAAACGAAGGGCCUAGGGGAAAACAUUUGAAAACAUUAGAGUGAGUGGAUAAAAGUAAAUUUAAGAGAAAUGAGCAACAAAUAACUUUAUGCUUUCCCGAUUAAAUUUUCAUAGAGAAGAUAUGCUGCGAACGACAAGCUCAAAAGCUUUUAACUCAAAAACUGGCAAUUACAUGACUGCUCCGGCUAGUCUCCAAAACUUUAUAAGAUAGAGCCUCUCAGGUUAAAAUAUAAAAAUAUGUAUGUAUUUACACUUGUCAUAUUCUUUGUAUGAAUUCUUAUGAAGAAAUAUAAGAAAAAUAGAAAUUCAUACAAGGCUACGACACUUGCGUCUAACGCUCAAAUCACGUCAUAAUAGAAUUUUACCUUAUUAUGCCAAAAGACUGUCACACCCCGGUUCUUAAGUUAUUUGACGGUUAUUUAUGUUUGGUUUUAUCUUGGUUUUUUACCGUGUUAAGUAACUGUUUACUGUUAAGGACCCUAUAGUUGACUUUUUGUAGAAAAGUUAUUUUGGAAAAAUUUCUGUAAGGAAGUUGUAGAGGACAUUAAUACAAGUUCAUAAACAUGCUAUACGUUAAAAUCGGAGUUAGCAUGAAAAAGUUAUCAACUAAAAGGGUAAAUUUUGAGUUGGUAAAAAGGGGGUAAAAUUUAGUUGGUUUUAUUUUUUUUGGUUGGUGUUUAAGUUGGACUGGGUAGGUGUGGAGAAGCCCAACACCCACCCACACACUCUCUCUCCCGUGAACUUUUCCCGACUCGCCGGAGACCCAGCUUCUGUCCGCUGCCGUCCAGCCACCACAGACCGUCGGACACAGCUUUGUUCGUACCCCCAUCAUCUCCUCUCCCUACCUGGGCUAGUGUCCGAGCCGACGAUGCCGCCGGAUAGGAGGGAAACUCCCCUAAAGACCCGACUGCCUCUUCGCCGGAGCUCUCUCCUCCGGCCACCAUAGUGUUGCACACGCAAUUUACGUGUGCAUCUAUACUUAAUUACCUUGAAAUUAGCAAGUACUCGAGCACUAUUUGUAGUAUUUACUUUGUUUUCUUCAUUUGUAGGAAAUUAUGGUCAAAAGAAGAAAAAGACAUUAGAAGUGGCUAAUUGAGAGAAAAAAGACAAUUUCCAACUUAAGGACAAAAGUCAACGGGUUGACCUUCGGGUCAACGGAGUCAACUCGGACCAAGACCAAAGAAGCCCACAAAUGAAGACCCAAGCCCAAGACACAAGACCAAAGAAGCCCACAAGUGAAGACUCAAGCCCAAUUGUGUUGGAUUUCAUUUUACCCAUUUUCUCCUUGUUUUUGAGCCAUUGGAUCUAGGUUACAAGUUUAAUCUUGACCCUUGAAUCUAAGAGGCUAUUUAAACACACUUUCACUCUCAUUUCAAAGAGGCUGAACCGAGUUUAGUAUUUAUUAUCACCCAAUUUUGAGUAUUAUUUCCCUUGAUUGUUGGAAUAGUAUUUGGAAUUGUGGGUAGCAUAAUUGUUAUCGCAAAUACUCUUUUCGAUCUCAUUAUUUGUGGUAAUGGUUGCUAAACUAGGAUAGGCAAAACCAAAGUGUUCUUUCUCCCACUAACUUUCACUUAUGGUUUACCUCCUAUUGUGUGACAAUCGAUUUAGCUUUCUUUUCGGUCUCUUAAUGCUAAAAGGAAAUCCGGCAAAACAUUGAAGCAUCUUUUGAGUUAAUCAUCAUUAUUGCCAUAUGAUUCUUAUUUGGGUAGAGAACCUUGAAUUCCAUGGUGACCCUUGGGUGAUGCAUCCCAUCCUUCUAUCUAUUUUACUUUUAUGUCUUAGUUAUUUAGUUUGUUUGUUAGUUGAAAACCCCAAAAACAUUAUGACACAUUCUCUACCAUUUCUUUGUAAAUCCAUUGUGUGAGCCUCAUUGUGCAUAUAUGUAUAAGUGAUUGAUGACUUAGACCAUAGGAUUGCUAGCUAGCUCGUGAUCCCCGUGGUUUGAUAACUUCGCGUCUAAAUAUUUCUCACUUCUUUGAUGACCGUGCUCUUAUUGCGCGUAAGUUGCAAUUAGCAUCAAAUCAAAUGGCGCCGUUGCCGGGGAUUGGAGUUUAAUAUCUCUAAUCCCUUGGUUUAUGGUCAUUAGUCACUUGCAUGUUUUUCUUGUUAGUUUUUUUUUUUUUUGUAUUCUUUGUUUGUGUGUGAAAUAAUGAAAAAUUCUUGGCAACUAGUUGUGCCAUAAAAAAAAAAGAAUUUUAUGCUAUAUUCUUAAUGUAUUUCCUACCCUAUUUAGCUUCGUUAAUUCCUUAAUAAUGCCAUUUCUAGCUUGUUUCUGUGUUGUAGGUCAAAAGAGGCAGUUUAUACAAAAGAAGACUAAAACGCAAGAAUUGAGCGAAAUCCUAAUCAAAGGAGGAUUCCUGGUGCAGCAAGGAGUCUCAUUAAGUCGCAGAAUCAAAGGAUAAGUCAUUUAGGAAACUUUCCUGUUUUGAAAAGGGAAACUUUCCUAUUUCAUUUUAAGAAACUUUCUUAUUUUGAUUUAGGAAACUUACUAUUUCUAAAUCUUUCCUAUUCUGACUUUCCUAAAAUGAUUAGGAAACUUUCUUUUCUAAUGAGACAGGGAAACCUUUUGCAGUCAGAAAACCUAAUCCAACUUGGAAUAGGAAUCUGUGAAUGUGUAUAAAAGGGGGAGGACGAAUUCUGCAGCAAUCAAGGAUUUUAUAUGUGCUAAUCAGAGAAUUAAGGGAGAUUCUUUCCUUUAAAUUCGUCAUUUGAAUUCUGUUAUUCCCUAUCAUAUCUAUCUGAUUUUAUUUCCCUUGCAGGAACCCUAAUUAUGCACCAAGAAAGGAAGGAAAAUCAUGGAUUUUCAUCAAAGGUCUAAUUGAGGGCAGAAGAGGGAAAGUUCUUAAUCACAGGGAUUUCCUUUGGAGAACAAGGAGUGUACCUGGUCCAUAUUCAAGCCUUAUGCAAUGGAUUACUGCACAAGACAUUCCAGAGAAUUCUGGGAAGGUAUAAAUCAGGAUUUAAAGCAAUAAUUCUGCACUGUUGGAUCACAAAUCAAUCAAGGGCUAGGAAGAUAGCUAGGGUUCGGCCAAGACAGUAUAUAAAGCAGCAGAGAGCAACGUUUUUGUCAUCUCUUCUUCGCACAGAAAAUCAGUCAACAAUGUUCUCUUUCUCUCUUCCUUUGCCGAACAUCUCCAAGCCAAGAAGCAAGAAGCCGGUGCUCUUUAGGACGUUUCCAAGAAGCUCUGAAGUCCUCUAGGCGUCUGCUUGCUUACACUCUACCGUCUUGAAAGACCUUCGCAGAACCAAUAAAAGUGUAACAAUGUCUAGUACUUUUUGCUUUCUUCGUUUCUGUUUUGGUUUUUGGAUUGAAGUUAUGAAUUUCAUCUUUAAGAUUGGAUGGAUGCUUUGGAUCUGAAAUUGAGAAUUUUCAGAGUAAUUUAAGCAUGUGUUCGACUUUUCUAUGAUAUUUUAUGUUCUGUUUUGUUGCCUUGUUGAUUCAUUAAAUGCAUAGUUUUGUUUUCACCAAAACUCUAAUCUGCAGGUUAGUGUUGCUAUGAUCUAUACUAAGCUUCUUCAAGUAAGUGUAGAUCUUCAGUAGUAAGGGCUAUGUAAUAAUAGCCGAAACCGAGUGUUACAUGCUUACAAGUUAAGCAGCUUCCUGUAAACUUGGGCAUGUUCAAAUUCAAAAUUCUAUAGCACUUAAUGAUUCAUGUUUAGUGUAGACGGGUACUUUGAGCGAUACAAAGUAUCGAUCGCAGCCUUUGCAUGAAAUACCCUAGGUUCUAGACUUCUCUGUGCUUAGGAGAUAAAUUAAGUAGAAUUAAAGGAAUGCAUGACCGCUGCGGCUUGUGUUUUGAGUUUGUUUUUGUCAUCACUUGGCGAUGAAUUUGAUUAUAUGGUUGAGACAUGUUGAUACUUGCUUGACUGAUUCUGAAAUUGCUGGUUGAUGUGUGUGGAAGAUGAUCACUUGUAUAUAUUUUACUUUACUUUCUGUUUUCGUAGGAAUGUUAGAACCAGAUCUCUAAAAUCCCCCCCCCUGAAAUCCUGUAAAUGUAAUUGCUGUUUAUAUUCUGUGAUUAACUUUUCUAGUGUGUAAACGCAAGAGCACCUUAAAGUCCCCGGAUUAAUCGAACCUUAUUUACCAAUACUACAAUUGUCAAAACAGGGUUCGUAAUUGUUGCACGCCCGAAAACGAGCUCGUCAAUUUUGACGCCGUUGCCGGGGACUUUAAAGUCUCCUACGGUUUUCUUUUAGUUUAAAUACUUAGUUUACUCAAUUAAUUGUAGUACUGAUUGUUUGUUUUAUUUUCUUUUCAGGUUUAUCUCUCAUUUGGUAAACUGUUCAGUUAAAGAGGCCGCAAAGCAGAGUUGGGCCUUAACCCUUCAUGAGUUCCUUUUCAAGGUGUCUCGAGGUUGAGGGCGGCCCGUAUUGUGCUCUUGUUGGAUCAUCAAAAAUAUAAGUUGUUCCUAGCUGAGUAAGGGGCAUUUUGAGUGGUGCCUAGGCCCGAGUAAGCGACUGGGACCAAAAUUGGGUUUCAAAGAGCUAUAGACUGUGUGUAAGCACGAUAGGGGUUUCAACCUCCGUAGCCCACUGAAAACGAAACCCUCCCAGCCCGUUUCACUUUGGCCUUGCCAUUCAAGCCUUCUGAAACCACGGAAUUGCUUAUGUUUAGAUGGCAACAGCUAUGUUGCCACCAAUACAGUUUACAACUUGAGAUAUAAAUUUGAAGGGUGAAUAAAAUUUAGAAUCAGUAGUGUUGUAUUAUUGUUGUUUAAACUGUGUUGUAAGUCGCACUACGGUAUAUUGGAUCAAACAUGACUAUGGAUUGGGUAGCUGUUUCAGUCCCAUUGCGCACCAUUGUCCUCUGUUCCCGUACCUAAGUGUAGAGUUGAAAUAAACUUAAGCAUAGGAUAAUGCAGACGUGUAGAGUCUUAUGUGUUUAUGGAAACUCAAUGUUGUUUAACUUGUCUGACUAUACUUUUAACUUCUGUAAAUUUGUAUGUCUUUUCACUAACAAUUACUUUGAAUGUACAGAUGACUUUCCCCAAUAAGCCUUCAAUCCUGGACACAAUCUUUUACUUCAAGAAGGGUGCCACAUUUGACAACAUGCUUAAGGUGGUACCAAAGUUUGACGGCAUUGGAAGUUGGGAUGCAGCAUCUCACGUUGCACAUGUAGAGAACGUGUGUACACUCAUGGUUCCAAUGGAGCUCAAUGCAGAAGCUGUGGCUGUGAACAUCUUUCAGCGAAGCUUGAGAAGGGAGGCCACAAAAUGGUUUCUUGAUGAGCUUGAUCACAAUGUCACUUGGGACACAUGCAAGGAGUUAUUCCUGAAGAGGUUCACAAGAGGAGGAGCUGAAAAAGAGCAAGUGCAACCAGCACGUAGGGAAGAGUGGCCACGCCAUGUCUAUGAAGAAAGGAUUGCACAAGCUCAGCCUAGAAAGAUCCCAGAUCUGGCAAGCUUUCCUUAGCCAUCUCUGCUGCCCAAGAUGGAGGCCAUUUCACCAAAAUCACCCCACCUGAUCCCUCCCCACAAGAUGAUUACCAAGAGGAAGAAGGAGGAGCGCAUGCAGAAGUUAAUUCCCAUCAUUGAAGAGCUGCAGAAGGAGCAAGUCGUCCUUUUUGAGUCCAUCAGCAAGAUCAACAAAAGAAUGGAUGAUAUGCACUCCAAAGUGCUUGCACUCUUUGAGGAGAUAUUUGGUGGCUUCUCUCUCCCAGAUUCUCCCUCUGCUGCCAAAGGUUGGAUGAACAAUGUUGAUGAAGAAACCCUGUUUGCAAAUGAGGAUUGAAGAUGAAAGUCAUCCGUCUUGCUCAAGGACGUUAAACGAGGUGCUCUAGGGAGGCAGCCGUACAAGAAGUCGCACACUUGUGCAAUUUUGAGUCUUUCUGUUUUUGUUUCAAAUUCAAGUUUUUGGAUAUUGUAAUAGACUUAUUAGUGGUUUGUUACAUCUUUUUGCAACUAUUUUUGGACAUCUUUUUCUUUAUUUUUACUUUGUUAUUUUUAUUUUUAUUUUUAUGAGUUUCAUUUUGUGAAAGUUGGAUUAAUAUCUUGUUUUUGAAAUGCAGUUCUACUGACUAUGAGUCAAUUUGCACGAAAAUCACAAGUGUUUCUCCAUUCUCUGGACACCCUACAUCUACUUUGAAGUAUCGAUUGCAAGGAGCUUUCAUUUGAAGGUCAAGGUCGCCUACCUUGAGGCAAGUGCCUAAAUUUCAAUCCUACCCGAAAGCUGUGAGUAUGGGAUGCCUACAAGGGGGAGCUUUCUCAACUUUAAACUCUUACUUUUUGUUCAUUAGUUUUUAUUUAGUGGUUUUGUUGUGAAUCCCUGUUUCCAUGCUUUAUUUUAUGUUGCAUGCUAUAUCUUGUUCUACAUUGAGGGCAAUGUAGAGUUUAAGUGUGGGGGAAGGAUUUACAUUUUCAUUGAGUCUUAUUUUGAAAAAUAUAAAAAUAAAAAAAAUGUCAAAAUUUAAAAAUUUUCGCUUGCUUUUUUUUAGUCUUUUGUUUGUUUUUGAGUCAUAGGAGCCCUUAACUGUAACGCCCCGAUUUGCACCUCAUCAAAUCGAGCACAUUACAGUGCCGCGUUCUCUUAGAACCUAAGCUAGGACCCAUCACUCAAGCCCUAAGAACCCGCAAGGCAUUUUAAUUAAACUAACUAAAGCUUUUAUAAAUUGAAAAUCAAAGUUGAAGUCGGAAGCGUUACAUAAAUGAGGUGUAAAACAUUAUAAUAAAACAGAUUUACUUCCUUUGAAUCAAGCUAUAAAGCAUAAAGCAAAACUAAUGCGAAAUAACUACUCUAGUAAAACAUAGCCAAGAUCAACUAAAACAUAUCUCCUUGAUAGUACGGGUAACACUGACAAGAAAAUAAAAUAAAGUGGCUGACAAAACAAACAACAUCGACAAGGUUUCCAAAUAAAACACAAGGGAAUGUAUCGAAUAAUCAGGAUACAAAAUGGAAACCUUACGUACGAUAACAAAUUCAAACAAACAUUUAACUUUAACCAAAUAUGCACACCCAGCUCAACCCAGCUCAAUCCCGUUCUUGUGCACAGAACCUGCAUCCAAAACUGUUGUAGGGGUGAGCUUUCGUCCUCGCUGCUCAAUAAGACUCAACCAACUAGGUUUAGAAACUAUUUAAUUUAUUGGCCAGUAUGUGAAAACAAAUAUAAAUAUAAAUCAUGAUCAAAGUAUAAGUUUCAUUUAGAAAAAUAUCUACGCGCCCAGAAUACACAAACUUGAUGACCGGUCCUCUUAUGCCAACUACAACCUUCCCACAAUUAAUAUCAUCCAUACUGGCAAGGUGCAGCGAGAGUGUCUAUUUACGCCAUACCGCCUAGGAGCGACGCCAUACCUCAAAAGAUGUCAAACGUCCUCCAAUCCGUACAGCCCCUCCGGAGGUUUAGGGGAUCGAAACCCAAGGAAGUCACUAUGCCCCGCUCACUCUCAAGUCAUCACACAAUAUCGAAAAUAUUGAAAACAAGCAUGGCAAUAGAAAUAUUAAAUUUUCAUAAUAAACCAAUCACAGCCAUGCGAUUAUUUUUCAUAUAUAAUAUACGAAAAACCACUAGCCAAGAAGAGUCUAGAAUCCCUUACCUGGUAUUCCUGGAGUUCGAAUCUUUACUCCACAAUGCUAGGCAAACACCACGACACUCGAAAACUCGAAAACCAGAGCUCUGUCCGACAAAUUCAAAUAUUAGCUUCUUAGUCCUCAAUUAAGUAACUCUUUAAGAACAUAUAAACAUCGCUUGUAAUUUUGACAAAUAGCCCUUCAUUUUCAAUAUAUUCAUAUAUACCAGGUGAUCAAAUCUUUAUUUCUAGCUCAGUUGAGCUUCAGACCCCAAAUUGGUAUCAUAUGCAAUUGUUAAUAUUUAAUUCGGUUCAUGCUGGAAGUAUAUAAACUGAUUCCAAUAAAAUCACUCAUACAUGUGCAGUAACUUUCGUUUCCAUACUUUUCAUCUAUAUCAUGAUUUGAACCAAACCAAACACACCUAACAAAUAUUACCAAGUUCAUUCUAAUUGCUCAUGUGAUCACUUUAUCAAGCAUGUACUCACGGUGGAUGAUGAUUAUUCCUAUUUACUUUAUGUUAAGAUAUAUAUAACCCUUAAUCAACAAGCUCACAUUUAAAUUGAUAACCAAGGUUCCCUUUAAUUAAAUUUCAAUUCCCAAAAUACCAUUCAAUGACAUAUCCAUCCAAAAUAUUCACGGUCAUGCAAUUCAAAGGAUUGAAUAUCAACCACAAUCUUGAAAGAAACUCCUCAAAGCUUCCAUACACAAAUCCUUGUCUUACCUUAAUAAAAACAUAUGAGAGUGGCUCCUCUUUGGUAGACAAAGUAGCUCCUCUAAUAGAAGAUACGGUGAACUCGCCCACCUCCACUUCUUAAUGAUAGAACUUAAUUCAACUGAAAGUUCUCAGUCAACUCCUUUUCUUCUAUUGCGAUAUUAGAACACAAACAUCAAUACUCCCUCUUUUCUAUUUUUAUCAAAUAAAAACACCAAUCAUCACUGCCCCAAGUUCAAAGUACAGAACCGAACUCUUAGAGAAAGACUCUUACCCAUGUUUGGUUCCUUGUCUGUUGAUUCACUCAGUCCAACUCUCUGCAGCCUUCCCACAUCUGACUUCUUAGAGAAUCAUCAUCUUCCUUCUCUACCCAAUUAGCUCAUCUCCUAGUUUGGAUUCGGUUUUCCGUUACCAAAUUGUCAACAAACAAUCAGAAGUUCAGAAAGCAAUCUCUCCCAAAAUCAAAUUCCGAAAUAGAUGGGUUCUCGGGUUUUACCUUACAACGACAAGAGAAAGAUGAUAAAGAGCUUGCUUAUCGAUUUCCACAACUCAGACUCAACGUCGAUGGUACAUAGCCGAACAACCCAAACUCCAUCCCAAACUCCUUCUCUGUUGUAUCCUUGAACUGAAGAUUAACAUCCCACCAUGAAUAUUGAGCAGCUUUGUCUUCUUGAACAUGAUUAGAGAGACAAAGAGAGAAAGAAAGAGAGUGUUCGUGAGAGAGGGAGAGAAUACGGGAGAAGGUUCCGGUUCUUCUUAUCAAUUUCUUCAUUUUAUUUGCCUUAUGUGUGAAAUCACAUUGUUGCCCUCAACUUGACUCUUAGCACAUUUUGUGACCCAAAGUGGAUUGAGCUGUUCAAGCUCACUUCGAAAAUAAAAACUUUCGAGCCCAAACAGAAUCAAGUGUUUUAUGUCCACAACAGAAAUUGUUUACUAAAAGUUAUCGGAACUUUAUUUUCAUAUAGCCAUAACUUUACGGGGUCUCACAUUAACUGUCUAUGAUGAUUAAAAUCUUUGAAAUUAUGGUUAAGAUCGCAAGAUGAUUUCCAACUGAUAUUCUGAAGUUAAUUGAAAUGAAUGGAAAUCAUGUGAAACGUAGUGGAUAUGAUUUGAAUCUCUGGUACAGAAAUGAGCAUGCUAAGACAAGUUUUGAUUCAUAUGAACCUUAAAUGUGAGCUUUUGAGCCUAUAUAUAUGUGCUAUUCUUUCUGAGUGAUAAUUGAAAAUAUUCUAAUUCUUUUUCUUGGCUAUAACAGUUGAAAACCUCAUUGUUCUUUCAAUUCGAUUGAUUGCCCACCAUAGCUUUUAAUGAACUAGAGAUGACUAGAACUCACUCUUGUGAACUUUCGAAACUUUUAAUCAUAAAACACUCUGAUUUUAGAAAGGAUAAAUGGAACUUUUUAGGAUGAUCACCAUUGCCAAAUAAACUUGUGUCCCUAUUUGUGUGCGCUGCACACCCCUUAGUUUGAGCCUCUUUGAGCCUACAUUAAGCCUUUUCUUUCAUCACCUAUGUAAUUUUUACCUGAGCUUAGUACAACAUAUCUCUACCCUUGUCCUUUGGGCCUAGUAGAGCAUUUUCUGUGAAGACUGCAUGAGGUGACGAUGAAGAGCAAGUGUGGGGGAAGGAGUUUCUGUAAUGUCCAUGUUAAUUGAAAAGAAAAGAAAAUGCCGUGAUAAAAAAAAAGGAAAAAAGAAAUUAAAGAAUAAAAUUUCGGCAGAAAAAGAAAAGAAAUACUAGACAUUGUUGUUGUUUGUGGAUCAGGAGUUUUGAUGUAAAUGGAAGGCCUAAAAUCGAAAUAUUUGGCAUUUGUUAUGUUUCAUGUUGUGUAAGGAGGUGCAGUGACGUUUUGGAGGACCAAAAGAUGUCUUGGUCCUUGUUUUGGCGACAUAUGGCGUUGGUUAAUGCUCUGUUAGGUCCUAAGGAAUUUUUGCAAUUCUUUGCCCUUAAAUUCAUACCCCUAGCCUAGCCAAAUUUAUACCUUGUGAAGUUCCUUUUGAUCUAAAAGAUGAGUAAAACUUGAUCUGUGGAGUUUGUUCCAAGAGUUGAGCCUAUGGUAUGGUUCAUUUGUGUGAAUAAUCAUAUUCUUUCAUGAGGUUUAUAUCUGAUCUAUUGUGCUUUUGUUCAUAUAAAUGCAAGCUUUCUGAUUCUAUAUUGCAUACUUGUUGAGUAAAUUAGCCAGAAAAUCUGAGUGAAGAUUGAGUGCACACCUUGUGAGAAUGAAUCAUAUUUGUUUGAAACAUGCUGAGCUUAAAUAUCACCAUUGUUCUAUCAAGUCCUACGUGUAAAUAUGUGAUCUAUGUAUGGCAGUUAGCUUCUGAAACUUCAUGGAAUGAUUCUUGGUUGAAUGCUAAUAUUGAUGCCAUGAGAGUAGAGAUUCUAAAACAAUAGUUAUGGGCAUUAGAGUUUGAGUGUCUGUUUAUGAUUUAUUUAUUUAUUUAUUUUUUCAAGUCUGUUUGUUUAUUUUUGUUUAGAGUCUGUUUGCUAGUUUGGGUUUGCUAAGGCACUAGUAAAAGCUAAGUGUGGGGGAAUUUGAUACACGCAUUUUAUGCAAUAUUCUUAAUGUAUUUCCUACCCUAUUUAGCUUCGUUAAUUCCUUAAUAAUGCCAUUUCUAGCUUGUUUCUGUGUUGUAGGUCAAAAAAGGCAGUUUACACAAAAGAAGACUAAAACGCAAGAAUUGAGCGAAAUCCUAAUCAAAGGAGGAUUCCUGGUGCAGCAAGGAGUCUCAUUAAGUCGCAAAAUCAAAGGAUAAGUCAUUUAGGAAACUUUCCUGUUUUGAAAAAGGAAACUUUCCUAUUUCAUUUUGGAAGGGGGAAGACGAAUUCUGCAGCAAUCAAGGAUUUUAUAUGUGCUGAUCAAAGAAUUAAGGGAGAUUUUUUCCUUUAAAUUCGUCAUUUGAAUUCUAUUAUUCCCUACCAUAUCUAUCUGAUUUUAUUUCCCUUGCAGGAACCCUAAUUAUGCACCAGGAAAGGAAGGAAAAUCAUGGAAAUUCGUCAAAGGUCUAAUUGAGGGCAGAAGAGGGAAAGUUCUUAAUCACAGGGAUUUCCUUUGGAGAACAAGGAGUGUACCUGGUCUAUAUUCAAGCCUUAUGCAAUGGAUUACUGCACAAGACAUUCCAGAGAAUUAUGGGAAGGUAUAAAUCAGGAUUUAAAGCAAUAAUUCUGCACCGUUGGAUCACAAAUCAAUCAAGGGCUAGGAAGAUAGCUAGGGUUCGGCCAAGACAGUAUAUAAAGCUGCAGAGAACAACGUUUUCAUCAUCUCUUCUUCGCACAGAAAAUCAGUAAACAACGUUCUCUUUCUCUCUUCCUUUGCCGAACAUCUCCAAGCCAAGAAGCAAGAAGCCGGUGCUCAUUAGGACGUUCCAAGAAGCUCUGAAGUCCUCUAGGUGUCUACUUACACUCUACCGUCUUGAAAGACCUUCGCAGAACCAAUAAAAGUGUAAGAAUGUCUAGUACUUUCUGCUUUCUUCGUUUCUGUUUUGGUUUUUGGAUUGAAGUUAUGAAUUUCAUCUUUAAGAUUGGAUGGAUGCUUUGGAUCCGAAAUUGUGAAUUUUCAGAGUAAUUUAAGCAUGUGUUCGACUUGUCUAUGAUAUUUUAUGUUCUGUUUUCUUGCCUUGUUGAUUCAUUAAAUGCAUAGUUUUGUUUUCACCAAAACUCUAAUCUGCAGGUUAGUUUUGUUUUCACCAAAACUCUAAUUGCUUAGUGUGAUAAAGGCAUGGAAAUUGUUUGUGACUUUGAUUACCGGCUAAGGUUUGGUUUGGGACCGAAGGAGUUAUAGUUGUGAAGUUAAUCGAAAUGAUUAUUAAUUUCUGUUGGUCAAACGUGGGUCAAGCCUGGUCAAUUUCUGGUCAACCUAAGAGAUUCUAAUCGAAUUAGGAAGAAGUUGAAUAGUUAAUUUUUAUGGGGUCGGGUCUGACCGAUUUGUUCAUCUGUUUAUUAUCAGACGUGGGUUUUGGCUAUAGAGUGUGAAUAUUUGGAGGCAGCGCUCGAGAAGUAUUCCGAGCAUUGGAAGGCUUAGGCCUCAUACGGUGAGUGGACCUUUGUUUUAAAUAAAAUGCAUGCUAUAGUUCAUAGAUGAACAAUUAUUGUUGCGGAGCAUUUUGACGUCAUUUUAUUUUGAUGAUUUUAUUUCUCUUGGAGAGUUACCGAAAAUGGGAUUUUUGGUGAAUAUAAAUAUGUAUUUAUGAGGAGAGUAUGUAUAAAAAUGCUAGCUAGGCCUAUCUGUCUGUCCACCUUAAUGGCGUAGCAUAUAGCCGCAUUAUGGUGUGACGUGAGCGUUGGACGCGAGCGUAGUAGCCCUAUAUGAGUAUUUAAUUCAUAUAGGGGGUAUGGGCACAUAUUUAUACACCCGUCUGUCCACCUUAAUGGCGUAGUGUAGCACCGCAUUAAGGCGUGACGUGAGCGUUGGACGCGAGCGUAGUAGCCCUAUAUAGACCCAUGAAUUUAUAUAGGGAGUAUGGACGUGUGUAAAUACAUACAUAUAUUAUAGAGCCUGAGAGGCUCGACAUUUAUGAGAUAAAAGUUUUAUCGCUUGCAGCAUGCAUUCGAUUUUCCUUGGAAAUUG
Molecule: long non-coding RNA, 25285 nt
Filed under: Fragaria vesca (wild strawberry)
Lineage: Eukaryota; Viridiplantae; Streptophyta; Magnoliopsida; Rosales; Rosaceae
Description: long non-coding RNA (FVES_LNC001659)
Source: RNAcentral